GGGCCCAUAGCUCAGUUGGAAGAGCAACCGGCUCAUAACCGGUUGGUCCCUGGUUCGAGUCCAGGUGGGCCCACCA
Molecule: transfer RNA, 76 nt
Filed under: Deltaproteobacteria bacterium
Lineage: Bacteria; Pseudomonadati; Myxococcota; Myxococcia
Description: tRNA-Met
Rfam family: tRNA
About the family: Transfer RNA (tRNA) molecules are approximately 80 nucleotides in length. Their secondary structure includes four short double-helical elements and three loops (D, anti-codon, and T loops).
Source: RNAcentral